This 65-nucleotide transfer RNA is filed under the name Dipodomys ordii (Ord's kangaroo rat). It matches the Rfam family "tRNA". Rfam says of the family: Transfer RNA (tRNA) molecules are approximately 80 nucleotides in length. Their secondary structure includes four short double-helical elements and three loops (D, anti-codon, and T loops). The record is from Rfam by way of RNAcentral. Lineage: Eukaryota; Metazoa; Chordata; Mammalia; Rodentia; Heteromyidae.
GGUGGCUCAGUGGUAGAGUGCUUGCCUUGCAUGCAUGAGGCCCUGGGUUCAAUUUCUCAACACCA